GGGGAUAUAGCUCAGUGAUAUAGCCCUUACUUAGCAUGCACGAGGCCCUGGGUUCAAUCCCCAAUACCACCA
This 72-nucleotide transfer RNA is filed under the name Marmota marmota marmota (Alpine marmot). It matches the Rfam family "tRNA". From Rfam's summary of the family: Transfer RNA (tRNA) molecules are approximately 80 nucleotides in length. Their secondary structure includes four short double-helical elements and three loops (D, anti-codon, and T loops). Lineage: Eukaryota; Metazoa; Chordata; Mammalia; Rodentia; Sciuridae. RNAcentral also lists the same sequence under 1 other name. The record is from Rfam by way of RNAcentral.